GAAACACAUGGGUGGAGGAAAGACCUGUGCGACUGGCUGAUUGACCCCUGCUGAAAGCCGAGGACCUUGUCCACAGACGGGAACAGUUCUCUUCAUGAAUGAAGGUCAGAGACAAGUGGGUGCUGCCAUGGUGGACAACACAAUGUCAUCUGGGAUGGCUGAACCUCUACCCCCCAGCACAUCAGCGCCACAGAUGUCUUUGCCAUCUCUUAGAUGCCCUGAUGAAGCCAACAACUGUGAGUACUAUUCAUUGCUCAGGAUAUCAGGAGGGAAGUGAUUCAGUGACAUGGGACAAUAACAAAACAGAUAAAGUGGCUCGGGAAAUGGCUAUACAAGAGCCUAUCCUGGUUACAGGCCUACAAGAAACAGCCACUGAGAACUGAGAUUAGACUAAGGGAUGGCCUCACUUAGAAUGUACAACAGAAGAAAAGGCCCAAGUUGUUUAAAAGAUAAAAGGACAAUGACACACUUGGGGAGAAAGCUAUACCCCCCCAAAGAACAAACAAAAGACUCACUUUGCCAAAUAAAAAAAUAGACUCAUUUAAGAGAUAAGAAGUUUGUCCAAAUAGUUAAAAUAUAUAUAAUAGACUUUAAGAUUUUAGCCAAGAGAGACAGUAAAAAAUAUAAGAUAUGUCAAUAAGUAAAUGCUUAACAAACAAACAGGACAAAGAGACCUAGAGAGUUUAACGAAAAGUCGAAGUGAACUUCACUGAGAUAAAACCAGAAAAUUAUGAUCACAAGUAUCUCCUAGUGCUUGUAGAUACUUUUUCAGGAAUAGAUAGAAGCUUUCCUCACCAAACGAGAGACGGCCUCUACAAUCAUCAAAAAGAUACUAGAAGAAAUCUUCCCCAGGUCUGGAAUGCCCAAGGUAAUCUGGUCUGACAGCGG
This 888-nucleotide long non-coding RNA is filed under the name Rattus norvegicus (Norway rat). RNAcentral's name for it is "long non-coding RNA NONRATT007701". The record is from RNAcentral. Lineage: Eukaryota; Metazoa; Chordata; Mammalia; Rodentia; Muridae.